RNAcentral lists this ribosomal RNA (484 nucleotides) under uncultured bacterium. Its description in RNAcentral is "partial 16S ribosomal RNA". It matches the Rfam family "Bacterial small subunit ribosomal RNA", at positions 30 to 507 of the family's 1533-position model. The record is from RNAcentral.
AUUGAACGCUGGCGGCAGGCCUAACACAUGCAAGUCGAGCGGAUGAAGGGAGCUUGCUCCUGGAUUCAGCGGCGGACGGGCGAGUAAUGCCUAGGAAUCUGCCUGGUAGUGGGGGAUAACGUCCGGAAACGGGCGCUAAUACCGCAUACGUCCUGAGGCAGAAAGUGGGGGAUCUUCGGACCUUACGCUAUCGGAUGAGCCUAGGUCGGAUUAGCUAGUUGGUGGGGUAAAGGCCUACCAAGGCGACGAUCCGUAACUGGUCUGAGAGGAUGAUCAGUCACACUGGUACUGAGACACGGUCCAGACUCCUACGGGAGGCAGCAGUGGGGAAUAUUGGACAAUGGGCGAAAGCCUGAUCCAGCCAUGCCGCGUGUGUGAAGAAGGUCUUCGGAUUGUAAAGCACUUUUAGUUGGGAGGAAGGGCAGUAAGUUAAUACCUUGCUGUUUUGACGUUACCAGCAGAAUAAGCACCGGCUAACUACGUG